RNAcentral lists this ribosomal RNA (422 nucleotides) under uncultured bacterium. Its description in RNAcentral is "bacterial SSU rRNA". It matches the Rfam family "Bacterial small subunit ribosomal RNA", at positions 355 to 774 of the family's 1533-position model. The record is from RNAcentral.
UGAGGAAUAUUGGGCAAUGCCCGCAAGGGUGACCCAGCAACGCCGCGUGGAGGAUGAAUGUCGUAAGAUUGUAAACUCCUGUUAGAGGGGAAGAAUAGUACCGGUUGGACCGGUAUAUGACUGUACCCUCAGAGAAAGCCCCGGCUAACUACGUGCCAGCAGCCGCGGUAAUACGUAGGGGGCAAGCGUUGUCCGGAUUUAUUGGGUUUAAAGGGUGCGUAGGCGGCUUUUUAAGUCAGUGGUGAAAUCCUGCCGCUUAACGGUAGAAUUGCCAUUGAUACUGAGAAGCUUGAGUUCAGUUGAGGUAAGCGGAAUGUGUAGUGUAGCUGUGAAAUGCUUAGAUAUUACACAGAACACCGAUUGCGAAGGCAGCUUACUAAACUGUUACUGACGCUGAUGCACGAAAGCGUGGGGAUCGAACA